RNAcentral lists this ribosomal RNA (510 nucleotides) under uncultured Bacteroidota bacterium. RNAcentral's name for it is "bacterial SSU rRNA". It matches the Rfam family "Bacterial small subunit ribosomal RNA", at positions 361 to 872 of the family's 1533-position model. Lineage: Bacteria; Pseudomonadati; Bacteroidota. The record is from RNAcentral.
AUAUUGGUCAAUGGGUGAGAGCCUGAACCAGCCAUGGCGCGUGCAGGAAGAAGGCCUUCUGGGUUGUAAACUGCUUUUGUCAGGGGAUAAAAUUUCCUUGCGAGGAAAAUUGAAGGUACCUGGCAAAUAAGCCACGGCUAACUACGUGCCAGCAGCCGCGGUAAUACGUAGGUGGCAAGCGUUGUCCGGAUUUAUUGGGUUUAAAGGGUGCGUAGGCGGCCUUAUAAGUCAGUGCUGAAAUAUCCCGGCUUAACCGGGAGGGUGGCAUUGAUACUGUAGGGCUUGAGUGCAAUCGAAGUAGGCGGAAUUGACGGUGUAGCGGUGAAAUGCUUAGAUAUCGUCAAGAACACCGAUAGUGAAGACAGCUUACUAGGCUGUAACUGACGCUGAGGCACGAAAGUGUGGGGAUCAAACAGGAUUAGAUACCCUGGUAGUCCACACUGUAAACGUUGAUGACUCGCUGUUUGCGAUAUACAGUAAGCGGCUUAGAGAAAUCGUUAAGUCAUCCAC